CCAGCCCGCUCAAGAAACUUAAAGGAAUUGGACGGGGACCCGCACAAGCAGCGGAGCGUGUGGUUUAAUUCGAUGCUACACGAAGAACCUUACCAGGGUUUGACAUGCAAGUGGUAGUGAGCCGAAAGGUAAACGACCCUCGGGGAGCUUGCACAGGUGCUGCAUGGCUGUCGUCAGCUCGUGUCGUGAGAUGUUCGGUUAAGUCCGCUAACGAGCGCAACCCUCACUGUGUGUUACAAGUGUCACACGGGACUGCCGGUUUUAAGCCGGAGGAAGGUGAGGAUGACGUCAAGUCAGCAUGGCCUUUAUGUCCUGGGCUACACACACGCUACAAUGGUCGGUACAACAGGUUGCCAAGCCGCGAGGCGGAGCCAAUCCCUAAAGCCGGCCUCAGUUCAGAUUGUAGGCUGCAACUCGCCUGCAUGAAGCUGGAGUUGCUAGUAACCGCAGGUCAGCUAUACUGCGGUGAAUACGUUCCCGGGUCUU
RNAcentral lists this ribosomal RNA (486 nucleotides) under uncultured Anaerolineaceae bacterium. RNAcentral's name for it is "bacterial SSU rRNA". It matches the Rfam family "Bacterial small subunit ribosomal RNA", at positions 903 to 1382 of the family's 1533-position model. Lineage: Bacteria; Bacillati; Chloroflexota; Anaerolineae; Anaerolineales; Anaerolineaceae. The record is from RNAcentral.